This 538-nucleotide ribosomal RNA is filed under the name Aulacoseira subarctica. Its description in RNAcentral is "partial Bacterial large subunit ribosomal RNA". It matches the Rfam family "Bacterial large subunit ribosomal RNA", at positions 2346 to 2895 of the family's 2925-position model. The record is from RNAcentral. Lineage: Eukaryota; Bacillariophyta; Melosirophyceae; Melosirales; Aulacoseiraceae.
AAAGCGUAAUAGUAUAUGCUUGCUUGACUGUAAGAUUUACAAAUCGAACAGGGACGAAAGUCGAUUAUAGUGAUCCGGUGAUUCUGUGUGGAAAAGGUCACCGCUCAUCGAAUAAAAGGUACGCCGGGGAUAACAGGCUAAUCAUUCUCUAGAGACCCUAUCGACGGAAUGGUUUGGCACCUCGAUGUUGGAUUAUCGCAUCCUGGAAUUGAAGAUGAUUCCAAGGGUUUGGCUGUUCGCCAAGUAAAGCGGUACAUGAUCUGAGUUCAGAACGUCGUGAGACAGUUUGGUCCCUAUCUGCCGUGGGCGUUGGAAGUUUGAAGGGGGCUGCUCCUAGUACGAGAGGACCGGAGUGGACGAACCUCUGGUGUAUCGGUUGUCACGCCAGUGGCAUUGCCGGGUAGCUAUGUUCGGAAUAGAUAACCGCUGAAAGCAUCUAAGCGGGAAACUAACCUCAAAACAAGGCUUCGCCGAGAGCCGUGGUAGACCACCACGUUGAUAGGCCAGGUGUGGAAGCGCGGUGACGCGUGUAGCUUAC